GACGAACGCUGGCGGCGUGCCUAAUACAUGCAAGUUGAGCGCUGAAGGUUGGUACUUGUACCAACUGGAUGAGCAGCGAACGGGUGAGUAACGCGUGGGGAAUCUGCCUUUGAGCGGGGGACAACAUUUGGAAACGAAUGCUAAUACCGCAUAAAAACUUUAAACACAAGUUUUAAGUUUGAAAGAUGCAAUUGCAUCACUCAAAGAUGAUCCCGCGUUGUAUUAGCUAGUUGGUGAGGUAAAGGCUCACCAAGGCGAUGAUACAUGGCCGACCUGAGAGGGUGAUCGGCCACAUUGGGACUGAGACACGGCCCAAACUCCUACGGGAGGCAGCAGUAGGGAAUCUUCGGCAAUGGACGAAAGUCUGACCGAGCAACGCCGCGUGAGUGAAGAAGGUUUUCGGAUCGUAAAACUCUGUUGGUAGAGAAGAACGUUGGUGAGAGUGGAAAGCUCAUCAAGUGACGGUAACUACCCAGAAAGGGACGGCUAACUACGU
Molecule: ribosomal RNA, 496 nt
Filed under: uncultured bacterium
Lineage: Bacteria
Description: partial 16S ribosomal RNA
Rfam family: Bacterial small subunit ribosomal RNA
Source: RNAcentral